This 320-nucleotide ribosomal RNA is filed under the name uncultured bacterium. Its description in RNAcentral is "bacterial SSU rRNA". It matches the Rfam family "Bacterial small subunit ribosomal RNA", at positions 29 to 336 of the family's 1533-position model. The record is from RNAcentral.
AACGAACGCUGGCGGCGUGGAUAAGACAUGCAAGUCGAACGGGAUUACUUUUGUAGCAAUACCGAAGUAAUUUAGUGGCGAACGGGUGCGUAACACGUGGGCAAUCUGCCGAAAAGUGGGGGAUAGCUCGCCGAAGGCGAAUUAAUACCGCAUGUGGUGAGGGAAGACAUCUUCCUGAAUCCAAAGCCGGGGCAACCUGGCGCUUUUGAGGAGCCCGCGGCCUAUCAGCUAGUUGGUGAGGUAACGGCUCACCAAGGCUUUGACGGGUAGCUGGUCUGAGAGGACGACCAGUCACACUGGAACUGAGACACGGUCCAGAC